GGGGCCGUAGCUCAGUAGGGAGAGCGAUUGGUUUGCAACCAAUAGGUCGUGGGUUCGAUCCCCUCCGGCUCCACCA
RNAcentral lists this transfer RNA (76 nucleotides) under bacterium. RNAcentral's name for it is "tRNA-Ala". It matches the Rfam family "tRNA". Rfam says of the family: Transfer RNA (tRNA) molecules are approximately 80 nucleotides in length. Their secondary structure includes four short double-helical elements and three loops (D, anti-codon, and T loops). The record is from RNAcentral. RNAcentral also lists the same sequence under 1 other name.